This 248-nucleotide ribosomal RNA is filed under the name uncultured bacterium. RNAcentral's name for it is "partial small subunit ribosomal RNA". It matches the Rfam family "Bacterial small subunit ribosomal RNA", at positions 26 to 288 of the family's 1533-position model. The record is from RNAcentral.
AGAACGAACGCUGGCGGCGCGCCUAACACAUGCAAGUCGAACGCUCCGGUUUCGGCCUGGGAGUGGCGGACGGGUGAGUAACGCGUGGGAACCUGCCUUUCGGCUCGGGACAACCGUGGGAAACUACGGCUAAUACCGGAUACGCCCUGGACGCAAGUCUGGGAGAAAGAUUUAUCACCGAAAGAUGGGCCCGCGUCCGAUUAGCUAGACGGCGGGGUAAUGGCCCACCGUGGCUUCGAUCGGUAGCC